Cyprinus carpio carpio is the source of this 109-nucleotide vault RNA. Its record names the gene Vault. It matches the Rfam family "Vault RNA". Rfam says of the family: This family of RNAs are found as part of the enigmatic vault ribonucleoprotein complex. NCBI's taxonomy places the organism in Eukaryota, Metazoa, Chordata, Actinopteri, Cypriniformes, Cyprinidae. The record is from Ensembl.
GCGUUGGUGUAGCUCAGUGGUUACUUCUGAUUGUUGCCAAAUCACACUCUCAGGGCCGCCGGGAAACCGGUGACCGGGGAUCGAACCUCGGGCUCUGUCCAACGUUUUC